CUGCUGACCAGACUGCCCCAGAGGGAAAUUUCCAACUCGAGAGGUUGCUCCUCAUCAUUUGUUCCCGCCAAGCUUUGGUGUGAAGACUGCUUUCCAGAAUAUGGUGACCAACAUAGCUAAGGAAAAGGAGGAACUUCCGCUGAAGAAGCGUAUAUCUGGCACCUGUUCUGUAAAAGGCACCUUGUUAGGCUAAGGCAUCUCCCACGAUGUUCCUGUUGCAAGGUGCCCAGAUGCUGCAGAUGCUGGAGAAUUCCUUGAGGAAGAGCCUUCCUACAUCCUUGAAGGU
RNAcentral lists this long non-coding RNA (286 nucleotides) under Sus scrofa (pig). Its description in RNAcentral is "lncRNA (ENSSSCG00005008236.1)". Lineage: Eukaryota; Metazoa; Chordata; Mammalia; Artiodactyla; Suidae. The record is from RNAcentral.